UACAGAGGGCGCGAGCGUUGUCCGGAAUCACUGGGCGUAAAGGGCGCGUAGGUGGCCACCAUAAGGCCGCGGUGAAAGUUCGGGGCUCAACCCUGAAUCGGCCGCGGCGACUGUGGGGCUCGGGUACUGUAGAGGCAGGUGGAAUUCCGGGUGUAGCGGUGGAAUGCGUAGAUAUCGGGAGGAACACCUGUGGCGAAAGCGGCGCACUGGACCAUAACUGACGCUGAGGCGCGAAAGCUAGGGGAGCAAACAGG
This 254-nucleotide ribosomal RNA is filed under the name uncultured bacterium. RNAcentral's name for it is "partial 16S ribosomal RNA". It matches the Rfam family "Bacterial small subunit ribosomal RNA", at positions 524 to 776 of the family's 1533-position model. The record is from RNAcentral.